GGGUAAUGUAGCUCACUAGAGCUUUGUACAGAGAGAGAGCAAAGGAGCUGAAUGGGAGCAUCUAAAAACACCAUUUCAGUUCCAUCUCUUGGAGUUCUUUGAUUUUUUAGACUUCUGUUUUGCUGCUUGGAAUGCCUGCAUUUUCUGUUUCUUCCGAGCUUCCUUUUCCGCCUUUGACAUCUUGGAUUUGGCUUUGGCUUUUGGAGACUUAUCCUCGAUCUCUGCCUCUCGUUCAAGCUCUCUUUCCCUGGCCUCAAGGUUUUUCUCCAAGUAAUAAUCAUAAUCUCCUUCAUAAUCAUGUAAAGUGCCAUCUUUUACUUCCAAUACUCUGUUAACAAUUUGUUUUAUGAAGUACCGAUCAUGAGAAACAGUUAUCACGGUGCCUUGAUACUCCGUAAUUGCCUCCUCAAGCAUCUCUUUCGUUGGUAUGUCCAAAUGAUUGGUUGGCUCAUCCAGUACUAGCAAAGUUGAAGGGGUCACCAUGAACUUACAGAAGGACAGACGUGCCUUCUCACCGCCACUCAAAAAGGAAACCUUCCUGUCAAGCAUGUCAGCUUUAAAAUUACAACGUCCAAGGAGUCCUUUUAUAUCAUCUAGUCUCCAAUCCUCAGCAGCUUCUGCUACAGUUUCAAGGACAGUUUUUUCCAAAUUGAGUGCUUCAGCCUGAUUCUGCUCAAAGUAAUUUGGUAAGACGUUGUGCUCCCCAAGCACAACUUCACCUCUUGUUGGCUUCAGUAAACCCAUAAUCAGUUUAAGAAAGGUGCUCUUUCCACACCCAUUAGGACCAAUAAUGGCAAUUUUUUCUCCUCUCUCAAUUGUCAAGUUUGCAUUCUUGAAAAGAACCUUAUCCUCGAAAGCAAAUUCCAGAUUUUUAACAUUCACAACUGUUCUCCCACUUCUUUCACGUUCUGGGAACCUAAUCUUCAUUUGUUUCCUUAUGAAUGGCUUAUCAAUUUGUUCCUGAUCCUGAAGUUUUUCCAGCUUCUUUUCAGCUGUAGAUGCACGACCCGAGUUUGCUCCUGCACUUAACCUACUUAUCAAAUCUCUCGUUUGCUCAAUUUCCUUCUGUUGCUUUUCCCAUGCAGCAUUCUGUGUUUCAAUCCAUUCAGCCCUUGAAAUAAUAUAAUCCGAGUAAUUUCCAUCAUAUGUCCUAGAUACACCCAUAUCAGUCUCCACAAUUUUUGUACACAACUGGUCAAGGAAAGCUCGGUCAUGAGAUAUAAUGACCAUCGGAACUUCUUGCUUAUUAAGAUAACCCUCAAGCCACUCAAUUGUAUCAAGGUCAAGAUGAUUGGUCGGUUCAUCCAGUAGUAACAAAUCUGGGUCCUGCAGCAAGAUCUUGCCCAGAGACAUCCGCAUUUGCCAGCCACCACUAAAUGAUGCCACAAGUCUAUCUGCAUCCUCUGGGGCAAAUCCUAGCUCGGGCAUCAUCUUGUUAAUCUUAACGUCCACCACAUCCAAAUCCACAGCUUGUGCCCUCCUCUGCAGCAAAUCAAACUCAUCCAACAGCCUCCCCAUCAACUCUAAAUCAUCAACAGAUUUCUCAAUUGCCUUCUGAACCUUAUCAAGUCUCUCAGCAACUUCCAUUUCCUCCUUAAAUGCACUCAUAAACUCUUCCUUCACAGUUCUUGUCGACUCAACCUCAAAUUCUUGGCUUAAAAAUGCAAUCUUCAUAUUAGGUUUUGCCUUAAUCAAAUUCCCAGAAUCUGGUUCUUCCAAACCAGAUAUAAUCCUCAAUUGGGUCGUUUUCCCUGCACCAUUUACACCUACUAAACCAACCUUUUCACCCUUUUUCACCUCCCAACUCACAUCUUUCAGCACCGUAACACCUUUAUAACUCUUACUAACAUUCUCUAGCCUAACCCCAGAUGAAAUACUCGAAGCCCCAUUACCUGAUUGUUUAUUACCCCUUCUGGAAUAAUUA
This 1924-nucleotide unclassified non-coding RNA is filed under the name Hevea brasiliensis (rubber tree). The record is from RNAcentral. Lineage: Eukaryota; Viridiplantae; Streptophyta; Magnoliopsida; Malpighiales; Euphorbiaceae.